AAAAGAACUCUGAAGAGAGGGUGCAAAGCGCGUGAAACCGCCAAGGGGUAAACUGGCUGAGCCGAGCGACGUGUCCCGCCGAGGCGGCUAGUCGCCCGCGGUCUCGACUCGUGCGGUCUUCCUCGGCAACGGGGGUAGGCUCCGGGCGCGGGACGGGGCGCGUGCCCUCCCUCGACGUGUCUCCGCCGUCACCGGCACCGGGCUGUCUCGUCCGCGCGUCUUCCUCGGGGUCGUCGGCCUCGGGGGUUCCGGGCGCGAUUCGGCACGAGAGCAGUCGUCGGGUGCCGUGGCCGACCGCGGGGCGCCGGUGGUGGUUCGUGUCGGCGGGUUAUGUUUUUUAAACGUAGCCCGUCGCCGCGGGCCGCCCCUGCCCCGCCGAAAGGUGUACGGCGUCAAAUCCGGUAGCUGCCCGACCCGUCUUGAAACACGGACCAAGGAGUCCGACGCUCGUGCGAGCCGCAGGGUUUCCACGAAACCCCACGGCGAAGUGAAAGCGAGAAGCCCCUCGGGGCCGAGGGCGAGAUCUCUCCCCUCCCUUCGCGGGGAGGGGGAGCGCAUCGCCGGCCCGACAGCCGCCGCGUCGACGGCCCUGCCGGAGCAUGAGUGCGAGCGUCGGGACCCGAUAGGUGGUGAUCUACGCCUGAGCAGAGCGAAGCCGGGGGAAACUCUGGUGGAGGCUCGAAGCGACUCUGACGUGCAAAUCGACCGCCCGACUUGGGCGUAGGGGCGAAAGACCAAUCGAACCACCUAGUAGCUGGUUCCCUCCGAAGUUUCCCUCAGGAUAGCCGGUGCCGUCGUAACGAUUUUCACUCGGUAAAGCGAAUGGUUGGAGGCAUCGGGGGCGAAACGCCCUCGUCCUACUCUCAAACUUUCAACGGGUGAGGCUCCAGACCCGCCUCAGCACGGGGACUGGCCUCGAAUCACGGGUGCCGAGUGGGCCAUUUUUGGUAAGCAGAACUGGCGCUGCGGGAUGAACCGAACGCCCGGUUGUGGUGCCCAACGCAGGACGCUCACGGGAAAGCUAAAAGGUGUGGGUCGGUACUGACAGCAGGGCG
This 1055-nucleotide ribosomal RNA is filed under the name Nanuca occidentalis. RNAcentral describes it as "eukaryotic LSU rRNA". It matches the Rfam family "Eukaryotic large subunit ribosomal RNA", at positions 367 to 1247 of the family's 3401-position model. The record is from RNAcentral. Lineage: Eukaryota; Metazoa; Mollusca; Gastropoda; Nudibranchia; Facelinidae.